UUCGCAGGCCGGGCGCUCGCUUCCGCAGUAACUGGCGGGAGAGGAAAGUCCGGGCUCCUAAUCUUCCUUUGUUCAAAUAUUUUUACAUUUGAGCAUCGGAGGACCUUCCGAAUCAAGGCAUCUGCGGUCAGCAGAGGCCGCGACGGAGGGGAGCAGCGUAGCGGCUAACGGCCGCCCGUCGAAAGGCGAGGAUAAGCCCUGAACAAGAACUUCGUUCGGUUUGGGGUUGCCUUAAACCGAUCUUUGAUCUGGUUUAUGGUAGAGCCACAGAGACGAGUCUACUAUGUUAGAUCGGUUGGACCAGUUGGUAUGCGGCUUUUCGGGUCAAGGCCACUGAAAAGGCUUGGCCAGAGGCUUGUGGACCAAUUUCAUCCCGGCCUAUCUAACGGAGUAGGGUGAAACGAGGCAAUCUCUACGCGGAGCAAGACCAAAUAGGUUCCGAUUAAGGAGUUGCUCGCUCCUACUGUAAAUAUAUCAGUAUCGGAACGGGUAAGGUCGCUAGAUCCCGGCAGUAAUGCCUGGACAAGAUAGAUGAGCGCCUCGUCCCGAGAGGGAUAAGACAGAACCCGGCUUACAGGCCUGCGUGCUAU
Molecule: RNase P RNA, 590 nt
Filed under: Candidatus Omnitrophota bacterium
Lineage: Bacteria; Pseudomonadati; Candidatus Omnitrophota
Description: RNase P RNA component class A
Rfam family: Bacterial RNase P class A
About the family: Ribonuclease P (RNase P) is a ubiquitous endoribonuclease, found in archaea, bacteria and eukarya as well as chloroplasts and mitochondria. Its best characterised activity is the generation of mature 5'-ends of tRNAs by cleaving the 5'-leader elements of precursor-tRNAs.
Source: RNAcentral